GGUCGAAUAGCUCAGUGGUAGAGCAGAGCCUCAUAAGCCAGUGGUCGAUGGCUCGAUCCCAUCUGCGACUACCA
RNAcentral lists this transfer RNA (74 nucleotides) under Polaromonas sp. P1-6. RNAcentral's name for it is "tRNA-Ile". It matches the Rfam family "tRNA". Rfam says of the family: Transfer RNA (tRNA) molecules are approximately 80 nucleotides in length. The record is from RNAcentral. Lineage: Bacteria; Pseudomonadati; Pseudomonadota; Betaproteobacteria; Burkholderiales; Comamonadaceae.